Molecule: ribosomal RNA, 253 nt
Filed under: uncultured bacterium
Lineage: Bacteria
Description: partial 16S ribosomal RNA
Rfam family: Bacterial small subunit ribosomal RNA
Source: RNAcentral
UACGGAGGGUGCGAGCGUUGUCCGGAAUUAUUGGGCGUAAAGAGCUCGUAGGCGGUUUGUCGCGUCUGUCGUGAAAGCUUGGGGCUUAACCCCAAGUCUGCGGUGGAUACGGGCAGACUAGAGGCAGGUAGGGGAGAACGGAAUUCCCGGUGUAGCGGUGAAAUGCGCAGAUAUCGGGAGGAACACCGGUGGCGAAGGCGGAUCUCUGGGCCGAUACUGACGCUGAGGAGCGAAAGCGUGGGGAGCGAACAGG